RNAcentral lists this ribosomal RNA (429 nucleotides) under Bacteroidota bacterium. Its description in RNAcentral is "Bacteroidetes bacterium partial 16S ribosomal RNA". It matches the Rfam family "Bacterial small subunit ribosomal RNA", at positions 355 to 776 of the family's 1533-position model. Lineage: Bacteria; Pseudomonadati; Bacteroidota. The record is from RNAcentral.
UAGGGAAUCUUCGGCAAUGGGGGGAACCCUGACCGAGCAACGCCGCGAGAGUGAAGAAGGUUUUCGGAUCGUAAAGCUCUGUUGUUAAGGAAGAACGAGUGUGAGAAUGGAAAGUUCAUACUGUGACGGUACUUAACCAGAAAGGGACGGCUAACUACGUGCCAGCAGCCGCGGUAAUACGUAGGUCCCGAGCGUUGUCCGGAUUUAUUGGGCGUAAAGCGAGCGCAGGCGGUUAGAAAAGUCUGAAGUGAAAGGCAGUGGCUCAACCAUUGUAGGCUUUGGAAACUGUUUAACUUGAGUGCAGAAGGGGGGAGUGGAAUUCCAUGUGUAGCGGUGAAAUGCGUAGAUAUAUGGAGGAACACCGGUGGCGAAAGCGGCUCUCUGGUCUGUAACUGACGCUGAGGCUCGAAAGCGUGGGGAGCGAACAGG